UUUAAGAAGCGCGAGGACUUUGGGCCAACCUCCCAUCCGUGUCUAUUGUACCCUGUUGCUUCGGCGGGCCCGCCGCUUGUCGGCCGCCGGGGGGGCGCCUCUGCCCCCCGGGCCCGUGCCCGCCGGAGACCCCAACACGAACACUGUCUGAAAGCGUGCAGUCUGAGUUGAUUGAAUGCAAUCAGUUAAAACUUUCAACAAUGGAUCUCUUGGUUCCGGCAUCGAUGAAGAACGCAGCGAAAUGCGAUAACUAAUGUGAAUUGCAGAAUUCAGUGAAUCAUCGAGUCUUUGAACGCACAUUGCGCCCCCUGGUAUUCCGGGGGGCAUGCCUGUCCGAGCGUCAUUGCUGCCCUCAAGCCCGGCUUGUGUGUUGGGUCGCCGUCCCCCUCUCCGGGGGGACGGGCCCGAAAGGCAGCGGCGGCACCGCGUCCGAUCCUCGAGCGUAUGGGGCUUUGUCACAUGCUCUGUAGGAUUGGCCGGCGCCUGCCGACGUUUUCCAACCAUUCUUUCCAGGUUGACCUCGGAUCAGGUAGGGAUACCCGCUGAACUUAAGCAUAUCAAUAAGGCCGGAGGAAUUUUUUAA
This 583-nucleotide unclassified non-coding RNA is filed under the name Aspergillus niger. RNAcentral describes it as "sequence contains ITS1, 5.8S rRNA gene and ITS2". The stretch from base 190 to 343 matches the Rfam family "5.8S ribosomal RNA". Lineage: Eukaryota; Fungi; Ascomycota; Eurotiomycetes; Eurotiales; Aspergillaceae. The record is from RNAcentral.